Molecule: ribosomal RNA, 816 nt
Filed under: Triticum aestivum (bread wheat)
Lineage: Eukaryota; Viridiplantae; Streptophyta; Magnoliopsida; Poales; Poaceae
Description: partial small subunit ribosomal RNA
Source: RNAcentral
GUGCUCCUAACUGCUCCAGAUUCAUUGGUUGUUUCAUUAGCAAAGCAUGACACACGAUAUGAUGAGGAAAGUGCACCAACUUCCAGAAAAGGUCGUGCACAGGGUUUUGGCAUCGAUGCACUUGAUGCGCUUAACUUCACGUAUAAGGUGUCUUGGCCUCUUGAUCUAAUUGCCAAUGCGGAGGCUCUGAAGAAGUAUAAUAAGGUCAUGGGAUUCUUACUGAAAGUCAAGCGUGCAAAGUUUGUUUUGGACGAAACCCGAAAGUGGAUGUGGAAGGGCAGAGGCAGCACAGCACAUAAUUUUAAACAACACUUGAUAGUAGGGCAGAAGCUCCUGCAUUUUGUCGAUGCAUUUCAUCAAUAUGUCAUGGAUCGAGUGUAUCAUAGUGCCUGGACUAAGUUUUGUGAUGGCAUGGCAUCCGCUACUACAUUGGACGAAGUCAUGGAAGUUCAUGAGGCAUAUCUUUCUUCUAUUCAGAGACAAUGCUUUGUGGCCUCGGAUAAGUUGUGGGCUCUGAUCGCCAGUCGAGUCAAGACCAUACUAGGAUUGGCGCUAGACUUCCACAAUGUGGAGCAAACUCUUGGCACCGGAGGGACUGCCGCAUCUGUUAGGGCAAGAUGCGAGAUGGAGUUGGAUGGGAUCGAGAAGCAAUUCGACGAGUGCGUCGUGUUCCUCUUGAGGAUCCUAUCUUUCAAGCUCAACGUGGGCCACUUUCCCCAUCUCGCGGAUUUGGUCACGAGGAUCAACUACAACCACUAUUACAUGUCUGACACCGGAAGCUUCACUGCGAUCCCUGGGCCCCGCCCUCGGCAGUAG